GGGUCGUUAGCUCAACUGGAUAGAGCAUCCGACUGAGUAGCGCGUCCGUUCUCCGCUCCUGCGGUCAUGGAGGCGCUUCCUUCUUCUCCUUGUUGGAUCGGAAGGUUCGGGGUUCGAGUCCCCGGCGACCCA
Molecule: transfer RNA, 132 nt
Filed under: Micromonospora echinospora
Lineage: Bacteria; Bacillati; Actinomycetota; Actinomycetes; Micromonosporales; Micromonosporaceae
Also listed under: 1 other name
Description: tRNA-OTHER
Rfam family: tRNA
About the family: Transfer RNA (tRNA) molecules are approximately 80 nucleotides in length. Their secondary structure includes four short double-helical elements and three loops (D, anti-codon, and T loops).
Source: RNAcentral